ACUCAAAUGAAUUGACGGGGGCCCGCACAAGCGGUGGAGCAUGUGGAUUAAUACGUCACUAACCGUAGAACCUUACCCAGGCUUGACAUCCCCGGAAGUUUCCUGAAAGGGAGAUGUGCCUCGCAAGAGGAGCCGGGAGACAGGUGUUGCAUGGCUGUCGUCAGCUCGUGUCGUGAGAUGUUGGGUUAAGUCCCGCAACGAGCGCAACCCUCACCGUCUGUUGCCAGCGUUAAGUCGGGCACUCUGACGGAACUGCCCGGGUAACCGGGAGGAAGGUGGGGAUGACGUCAAGUCAGCAUGGCCCUUACGCCUGGGGCUUCACACAUGCUACAAUGGCCGGUACAGAGGGUCCCAAGACCGCGAGGUGGAGGCAAUCCCAAAAAGCCGGUCUCAGUUCGGAUCGCAGGCUGCAACUCGCCUGCGUGAAGUCGGAAUCGCUAGUAACCGCCGGUCAGCUAAACGGCGGUGAAUACGUUCCCGGGCCUUGCACACACCGCCCGU
This 501-nucleotide ribosomal RNA is filed under the name uncultured bacterium. Its description in RNAcentral is "partial 16S ribosomal RNA". It matches the Rfam family "Bacterial small subunit ribosomal RNA", at positions 899 to 1397 of the family's 1533-position model. The record is from RNAcentral.